AAUCCAUAGGUUAAUGAGGCGAACCGGGGGAACUGAAACAUCUAAGUACCCCGAGGAAAAGAAAUCAACCGAGAUUCCCCCAGUAGCGGCGAGCGAACGGGGAGGAGCCCAGAGCCUGAAUCAGCAUGUGUGUUAGUGGAAGCGUCUGGAAAGGCGCGCGAUACAGGGUGACAGCCCCGUACACAAAAGCGCAUGUGCUGUGAGCUCGAUGAGUAGGGCGGGACACGUGGUAUCCUGUCUGAAUAUGGGGGGACCAUCCUCCAAGGCUAAAUACUCCUGACUGACCGAUAGUGAACCAGUACCGUGAGGGAAAGGCGAAAAGAACCCCGGCGAGGGGAGUGAAAAAGAACCUGAAACCGUGUACGUACAAGCAGUGGGAGCCCCACCACUAAGCCAGUGGUGAACUCCACAUACGCAUCCUUUGCUGAGGAUACGGUUAACGGAGCGAAAGCGACGUUCAACCUCAAAAGAAGCAGAGGGGGCUUAGUGGUGGGGUGACUGCGUACCUUUUGUAUAAUGGGUCAGCGACUUAUAUUCUGUAGCAAGGUUAACCGAAUAGGGGAGCCGGAGGGAAACCGAGUCUUAAUUGGGCGUUAAGUUGCAGGGUAUAGACCCGAAACCCGGUGAUCUAGCCAUGGGCAGGUUGAAGGUUGGGUAACACUAACUGGAGGACCGAACCGACUAAUGUUGAAAAAUUAGCGGAUGACCUGUGGCUGGGGGUGAAAGGCCAAUCAAACCGGGAGAUAGCUGGUUCUCCCCGAAAGCUAUUUAGGUAGCGCCUCGUGAAUUCAUCUCCGGGGGUAGAGCACUGUUUCGGCUAGGGGGCCAUCCCGGCUUACCAACCCGAUGCAAACUGCGAAUACCGGAGAAUGUUAUCACGGGAGACACACGGCGGGUGCUAACGUCCGUCGUGAAGAGGGAAACAACCCAGACCGCCAGCUAAGGUCCCAAAGUCAUGGUUAAGUGGGAAACGAUGUGGGAAGGCCCAGACAGCCAGGAUGUUGGCUUAGAAGCAGCCAUCAUUUAAAGAAAGCGUAAUAGCUCACUGGUCGAGUCGGCCUGCGCGGAAGAUGUAACGGGGCUAAACCAUGCACCGAAGCUGCGGCAGCGACACUAUGUGUUGUUGGGUAGGGGAGCGUUCUGUAAGCCUGUGAAGGUGUGUCGUGAGGCAUGCUGGAGGUAUCAGAAGUGCGAAUGCUGACAUAAGUAACGAUAAAGCGGGUGAAAAGCCCGCUCGCCGGAAGACCAAGGGUUCCUGUCCAACGUUAAUCGGGGCAGGGUGAGUCGACCCCUAAGGCGAGGCCGAAAGGCGUAGUCGAUGGGAAACGGGUUAAUAUUCCCGUACUUGGUGUUACUGCGAAGGGGGGACGGAGAAGGCUAUGUUGGCCGGGCGACGGUUGUCCCGGUUUAAGCGUGUAGGUGUGUGUUCCAGGUAAAUCCGGUUCACUUUAACACUGAGGCGUGACGACGAGGCACUACGGUGCUGAAGCAACAAAUGCCCUGCUUCCAGGAAAAGCCUCUAAGCAUCAGGUAACAUCAAAUCGUACCCCAAACCGACACAGGUGGUCAGGUAGAGAAUACCAAGGCGCUUGAGAGAACUCGGGUGAAGGAACUAGGCAAAAUGGUGCCGUAACUUCGGGAGAAGGCACGCUGACACGUAGGUGAAGUGAUUUACUCAUGGAGCUGAAGUCAGUCGAAGAUACCAGCUGGCUGCAACUGUUUAUUAAAAACACAGCACUGUGCAAACACGAAAGUGGACGUAUACGGUGUGACGCCUGCCCGGUGCCGGAAGGUUAAUUGAUGGGGUCAGCGCAAGCGAAGCUCCUGAUCGAAGCCCCGGUAAACGGCGGCCGUAACUAUAACGGUCCUAAGGUAGCGAAAUUCCUUGUCGGGUAAGUUCCGACCUGCACGAAUGGCGUAAUGAUGGCCAGGCUGUCUCCACCCGAGACUCAGUGAAAUUGAACUCGCUGUGAAGAUGCAGUGUACCCGCGGCAAGACGGAAAGACCCCGUGAACCUUUACUAUAGCUUGACACUGAACAUUGAGCCUUGAUGUGUAGGAUAGGUGGGAGGCUUUGAAGUGUGGACGCCAGUCUGCAUGGAGCCGACCUUGAAAUACCACCCUUUAAUGUUUGAUGUUCUAACGUGGACCCGUUACCCGGGUUGCGGACAGUGUCUGGUGGGUAGUUUGACUGGGGCGGUCUCCUCCUAAAGAGUAACGGAGGAGCACGAAGGUUGGCUAAUCCUGGUCGGACAUCAGGAGGUUAGUGCAAUGGCAUAAGCCAGCUUGACUGCGAGCGUGACGGCGCGAGCAGGUGCGAAAGCAGGUCAUAGUGAUCCGGUGGUUCUGAAUGGAAGGGCCAUCGCUCAACGGAUAAAAGGUACUCCGGGGAUAACAGGCUGAUACCGCCCAAGAGUUCAUAUCGACGGCGGUGUUUGGCACCUCGAUGUCGGCUCAUCACAUCCUGGGGCUGAAGUAGGUCCCAAGGGUAUGGCUGUUCGCCAUUUAAAGUGGUACGCGAGCUGGGUUUAGAACGUCGUGAGACAGUUC
RNAcentral lists this ribosomal RNA (2549 nucleotides) under Salmonella enterica subsp. enterica serovar Manhattan. RNAcentral describes it as "partial 23S ribosomal RNA". It matches the Rfam family "Bacterial large subunit ribosomal RNA", at positions 161 to 2632 of the family's 2925-position model. Lineage: Bacteria; Pseudomonadati; Pseudomonadota; Gammaproteobacteria; Enterobacterales; Enterobacteriaceae. The record is from RNAcentral.